UAACCAGCGAUGUCAGCCCAAUGAGCAUGCUGUGUCUGACAGCACAGUGGGUCGACGAGGAUUCCGUCCCUUAGGAAAGCCGUAUUGCAUGCUCAAGAAUGUGCUGGUUCUCAUAACGCUUCUGCCAUUUCAAUGGCAUUUGAGAACAUGUGAACACACUCCUAGCUCCAUUCGAACAACUGACUUGAGAAAUAAGCUCAUCAACUGCGUCUGCAGCAGACGUGAUAUCCUCCGUCAUGGCACUUGAAAGACCUGCUCAACAAAACUGUCAAAACAGACCGUGGGGUUAAAACUCGCAAAAGUACUCUACUAGAGGCUGUGAACAAGUGAUUCGGUGGCAUUCUUUGCGGUGUCGCCGCCAUGCUCGAUGCUAGAUACAAGGGCCGCUACUUUGAUGCAGACAAGAAACAGGGUUUAACUGAAAUGUUUGACACAGCUGAACAAUAUGGAAACGUACACAGUGACAGUGCACACCGAAGAGGACCCACGACAGAAGAGACCAUGGACAGAGAGCUGAAACUUCACUGCUUGACAUGUAUGAUCAAAUCCUGGUUGAGAUUGAAAUGACUGAACAAAUGAACAACGAAACAGCACAGCAAGUGGGCGGACUGGAAACCCAGUGACAACACACUGGUCUGCAGCUGCCAUUUUCUGUUGGGAAAGAUAAAUGGCCCAGUAUUUACCAGAAAAAAGGUAGCUCAUCCCCCAUGGCAGAAGAGGAAGAUCCAGACUGUUGAUUGGGAAACAAGAACAAACAAUGAGUCCAACAGGAGUGUAUCCCUCAGACAAUCCGGUGCAUGGACAUCUUGUACCAGUUGUGAUCCAAGCGCGAGCAUCUAGUUGUGGAGACUACAACAGAUCGAGCCUGUGGACGGACAGACAUGAGGCGUGACAUGCAGAACAUCAAGCUCACUCCACGAGAAGCAGUGCAUGAUCAACGCCAUCCUCAGCAAGAUCUGCUGGAAGUGAUGUACUCUCUCACUCACUCCCUCUGGGGGUACAGGCAGGGAUGACUGGGGCCUUCAUCAAGACACAGGGGUAAAAAAUAAUUUGGAAAUCACAUGUAUAAAUUCCCACUGUGCCCAUGAUAAAGUUAACCACAAAUGUAUUUGUAUGUAAUAUAACCUAUUAUGGGAGCCUAGUGUGUUUGUAUGAACUGUGUGGAAUAUUUUUGGAAUAUGAGUCUGUCAGAGGUUGUCAUGCUGGAUGGGGAUGAUGACGGAGGCUUUGGUGGUCCACACAACAAAGUAGGUGUCCCUUCCAGUGAUGAUGAGCUGACCUUGGACCUGGUACCAGUAAGAAUGGUCUUUACGGAGGUGGUAAGAUCCUACCUCCUUGAUAUAGAAAUCCUUCGACUUCACUGCCUCUUCAGUGGUAAGAUCCCUUGCACCAUAGGGACACUUGACCUCCACCACUGCUGUGGUGCCCACCAGGCCAUCCGGCGAGGCACCCAGGAUCCCAGACUCCAUGACACAAAGCCUUGACUCCUGCAGAUCCAUCCCUGUAGCCAUUUUUAUUGCCCUCGUCUUUGAUAUCUAUGCCCCACUUUACAGACAACAACCUAUCCAAUGACUGUGAUCGGAGGACCCUUUUAGCAGCAACAGAGUAACGGGCUUGGCCCUAACCACUGCUCCAUAACUGCUGGCCGUCAACCUCCCUCCCCUCAUGGUGUGCCAGUUGGGGUCGGUGCGCUGUCAAGCUUGGUGUGCUGGGGUUGGUGUGCUGCCGUAAAGCCUCCUGCUGCUCCACCGACAGCGCCAUGCCAGCCAGGAUGCCUGCAAGCCCCAGGUUCCCUUGCUUCUAAACAAUGUCCGGUACAGACAGGGAUGACAGAAAGGGUAGCGGUUGUUCUGGCUCAGGUUCAUGGAGAUAUGCCAUUCCAUUGAACUUGCCCUGGAGACGGUUCCUUAGCCACUGAAGAUCGUCCUCUGUGGGAUCCCCUGGACAGAGGGUUGCAGUCUUCGGCCGGGUACAGGUCCACCACUAACUGCACCUAGUUGGGCACGGCUGGCUUAGGCUAUAUGGCUACACUUACGAGCUCCACGGAGGCAUUCGCAUGGGGUAGAGAGAAUCCCCUGGUCACCUAUAGACACCUGCCAAGAUGAAGGAUAUUAAGUGCCACGUCUUUCAAUGCAUGACUUUGAACACCUUUAAAUUCAUUUGUAAUAAGAAAUGUGCUAUAUAAAUAAAGUUUGAUUUGAUUGAU
Oncorhynchus nerka (sockeye salmon) is the source of this 2206-nucleotide long non-coding RNA. RefSeq lists it as uncharacterized. The transcript has 5 exons. The record is from RefSeq and is a predicted model, not a curated record. Lineage: Eukaryota; Metazoa; Chordata; Actinopteri; Salmoniformes; Salmonidae.